Long non-coding RNA from Cervus elaphus (red deer), 599 nucleotides. RefSeq lists it as uncharacterized. The record is from RefSeq and is a predicted model, not a curated record. The transcript has 4 exons. NCBI's taxonomy places the organism in Eukaryota, Metazoa, Chordata, Mammalia, Artiodactyla, Cervidae.
UCUAAUGUUACAUAGCUCUCCUCUCAACUUACCGCCCCAGGAAAGGAAUUUUCGCCAGAGCGGGCGGGAGCUGAGGAAGUCUGGGCGAUCCACGACGAACCAUCUGAAAUCAUUUUCCCAGGCAGCGGAAUAAACACCUAGCCAGACGUUACGUUGCUUUUCAGAGAGUCUGCCAUGAGUGUGAGCUGACCUGUGGACAAAGCACCUCAACAAGGAACUGAGUGAGUCCUCUGACCAACAACGAGAAACUAAUGACUUCAGUCCAACAUCCUGUGAAGAGUCACAUCCUGUCAGCAACCAGCAGACUUAUAGACAUGACCCAUUCGAACUGCAUGGAGACCAGGCCAUGAUCCCAGAGAUCUCCUCGCUUGUCAGAAGAUAGAAACAUUCAUCCGAAAGCCUUUUAAGCUCAAUGACAGAAGUUCAGAAUUAUUCCUGGCACCUUCUUGGAAGUAUUUCCGAGUAUUACAAAGUAGAGACAUCACGUUGCUGACAAAGGUCCAUCUAGUCAAAGCUAUGGUUUUCCCAGUAGUCAUGUACAGAUGUGAGAGUUGAACCAUAAAGGCUCAGCACCAAAGAAUUGAUGCUUGCAAACUGCA